This is a long non-coding RNA of Xenia sp. Carnegie-2017, 1245 nucleotides long. RefSeq lists it as uncharacterized. The transcript has 4 exons. The record is from RefSeq and is a predicted model, not a curated record. Lineage: Eukaryota; Metazoa; Cnidaria; Anthozoa; Malacalcyonacea; Xeniidae.
AUAUUUACUCUAAAAUCUUGGGUAGUUUGCUAUCCGUGGUUUAACUUUUACCCUCAACAUAAUGGUAAUGUUUACAAUGACCCUCUUUGGGUGUAAAUGCAACAUGUGGGUGUAAAAAUUACCCCAUGCGUUUGGUGUAAUGCCAAAUGCAACGCAUUUUUUAAAAUCAACAUGGGUGGAAGAAACAUUAAGCAAGAGUGGAAGAAACAUGCUUCUUCGUCAACAGAGUCCAAACCACUUUGUCGGAAUAUUAACAUUUAUGGUCUAUUUCUCCAAGAUUUCUUGAAGAAAAUCCUUUAAAUUAUUUGCUGUACCUGGUCCAACUUCAAUGCCUUUUUCGAGAAAUCCUGAUUCAUGAUUGCCAGACUGCAACUUAUAGCAAACCCAUUGUUGGUGUCGCAUGGCCAAAGUAAAUGGUGAAAAGCAAAGAGAUGUGAUUUGUAGCAAACUAAGAAAAAGUUUCCAUCGGUCAUUUUCUGGAGGAACAAUAUUUCCAAUUAUGAAUGCACUUGCAAGACAAUAUCGACAUGGCUUGUUUGCACUGCAACUCUCUUUAAAUCCUCCUAACAACUGUGCUCCAAGAUUGUCAGCAGAUGUGUAUGCUAUGGAUCCACAGAAGGUCUCGUCUACACCUUUAAUGUCGAAGGAAUGGCCACUGUUCUGAAACCAAAGUGGAAAAGUGAAGUUGUUUACUUUAUUAUGCUGCUGUGUGAGCUGAGCAUACCUUUUCUAACUUUUUUAAAUCAGUAACGAAUGGUUUUAGUACUGCAUCAAUUCCAUACUCUUUAAUGUUAGACGUUUGUUCUGAACUCGUGUGAGGAUUUUUGACCUAAAAUUUAGAGGUGAAAGAAAUAACUUCUAAGAAACAUCAUUGUGAAAAUGAUAUCUCAAGUGAAAUCAUCGUAAAUGCAACUUUUCCAAUUUGCCAUAAUGUAUAUUUGACUUAACUAUUAUUUAAUUUCAAAGACCAUGCACCUGACCUCUGCUAAAAUGAAGUCGUCAUUUAGAAGCUGUUGCAGACUAUCCAAAAGUGGUAUAUAAUAUGCCUCAUCAUUAACUUGAAUUUGCUCUAAUACACCAUUUCUUCUUUUGAAGACUCUCUUUUGACCCAGAAUAAUUCUACGUGGUUCCUGUUUAAAAAAAGCAAAGACGUCCAGGAAAAGCUUUUUCAUAGUUUUACCAUAUGUUUCUGCGUUCUCGUUAAUAAAAUGUAAUACCUUUAAUCCAAAAUUGUCUUUGUAAAAA